CAGCCGCCGCGGUAACACGUAGGUGGCAAGCGUUGUCCGGAAUUAUUGGGCGUAAAGGGCUCGCAGGCGGUUUCUUAAGUCUGAUGUGAAGGCCCCCGGCUCAACCGGGGAGGGUCAUUGGAAACUGGGAAACUUGAGUGCAGAAGAGGAGAGUGGAAUUCCACGUGUAGCGGUGAAAUGCGUAGAGAUGUGGAGGAACACCAGUGGCGAAGGCGACUCUCUGGUCUGUAACUGACGCUGAGGAGCGAAAGCGUGGGGAGCGAACAGGAUUAGAUACCCCCGUAGUCCCUGUCUCUUAUAC
Molecule: ribosomal RNA, 301 nt
Filed under: uncultured bacterium
Lineage: Bacteria
Description: partial 16S ribosomal RNA
Rfam family: Bacterial small subunit ribosomal RNA
Source: RNAcentral